Molecule: transfer RNA, 72 nt
Filed under: Homo sapiens (human)
Lineage: Eukaryota; Metazoa; Chordata; Mammalia; Primates; Hominidae
Description: tRNA-Asp (GTC) 5-1 (TRD-GTC5-1)
Rfam family: tRNA
About the family: Transfer RNA (tRNA) molecules are approximately 80 nucleotides in length. Their secondary structure includes four short double-helical elements and three loops (D, anti-codon, and T loops). Further hydrogen bonds mediate the characteristic L-shaped molecular structure. tRNAs have two regions of fundamental functional importance: the anti-codon, which is responsible for specific mRNA codon recognition, and the 3' end, to which the tRNAs corresponding amino acid is attached (by aminoacyl-tRNA synthetases). tRNAs cope with the degeneracy of the genetic code in two manners: having more than one tRNA (with a specific anti-codon) for a particular amino acid; and 'wobble' base-pairing, i.e. permitting non-standard base-pairing at the 3rd anti-codon position.
Source: Rfam by way of RNAcentral
UCCUCAUCAGUAUAGUGGUGAGUAUCCCCGCCUGUCACGCGGGAGACUGGGGUUCGAUUCCCUGAGGAGGAG